GACGAACGCUGGCGGCGUGCUUAACACAUGCAAGUCGAACGAAGAGCGACGGAAGCUUGCUUCUAUCAAUCUUAGUGGCGAACGGGUGAGUAACGCGUAAUCAACCUGCCCUUCAGAGGGGGACAACAGUUGGCAAAGACUGCUAAUACCGCAUACGAUCUAAUCUCGGCAUAGAGGAUGGAUGAAAGGUGGCCUCUACAUGUAAGCUAUCACUGAAGGAGGGGAGUGCGUCUGAUUAGCUAGUUGGAGGGGUACCGGCCGACCAAGGCGAUGAUCAGUAGCCGGUCUGAGAGGAUGAACGGCCACAUUGGGACCGGGACACGGCCCAGACUCCUACGGGAGGCAGCAGUGGGGAAUCUUCCGCAAUGGACGAAAGUCUGACGGAGCAACGCCGCGUGAGUGAUGACAGCCUUCGGGUUGUAAAGCUCUGUUAAUCGGGACGAAAGGCCUUCUUGCGAAUAGUGAGAAGGAUUGACGGUACCGGAAUAGAAAGCCACGGCUAACUACGUG
RNAcentral lists this ribosomal RNA (510 nucleotides) under uncultured bacterium. RNAcentral describes it as "partial 16S ribosomal RNA". It matches the Rfam family "Bacterial small subunit ribosomal RNA", at positions 28 to 507 of the family's 1533-position model. The record is from RNAcentral.